Molecule: ribosomal RNA, 303 nt
Filed under: uncultured bacterium
Lineage: Bacteria
Description: partial 16S ribosomal RNA
Rfam family: Bacterial small subunit ribosomal RNA
Source: RNAcentral
AGCAGUCGCCGCGGGAAUACAGAGGGUGCGAGCGUUAAUCGGAUUUACUGGGCGUAAAGCGUGCGUAGGCGGCUUCUUAAGUCGGAUGUGAAAUCCCUGAGCUUAACUUAGGAAUUGCAUUCGAUACUGGGAAGCUAGAGUAUGGGAGAGGAUGGUAGAAUUCCAGGUGUAGCGGUGAAAUGCGUAGAGAUCUGGAGGAAUAACGAUGGCGAAGGCAGCCAUCUGGCCUAAUACUGACGCUGAGGUACGAAAGCAUGGGGAGCAAACAGGAUUAGAUACCCCGGUAGUCCCUGUCUCUUAUAC